GACGAACGCUGGCGGCGUGCUUAACACAUGCAAGUCGAACGGAAAGGCCCUGCUUGCAGGGUCCUCGAGUGGCGAACGGGUGAGUAACACGUGGGUGAUCUGCCCUGCACUUCGGGAUAAGCCUGGGAAACUGGGUCUAAUACCGGAUAGGAGCCAUUUUUAGUGUGAUGGUUGGAAAGUUUUUUCGGUGUAGGAUGAGCUCGCGGCCUAUCAGCUUGUUGGUGGGGUAAUGGCCUACCAAGGCGGCGACGGGUAGCCGGCCUGAGAGGGUGGACGGCCACAUUGGGACUGAGAUACGGCCCAGACUCCUACGGGAGGCAGCGGUGGGGAAUAUUGCACAAUGGGCGCAAGCCUGAUGCAGCGACGCCGCGUGGGGGAUGACGGCCUUCGGGUUGUAAACUCCUUUCGCUAGGGACGAAGCUUUUUGUGACGGUACCUAGAUAAGAAGCACCGGCUAACUACGUG
Molecule: ribosomal RNA, 465 nt
Filed under: uncultured bacterium
Lineage: Bacteria
Description: partial 16S ribosomal RNA
Rfam family: Bacterial small subunit ribosomal RNA
Source: RNAcentral